Hippopotamus amphibius kiboko is the source of this 4325-nucleotide RNA transcript. It is a transcript of the gene named DnaJ heat shock protein family (Hsp40) member C25, with no coding region annotated. The transcript is spliced from 6 exons. The record is from RefSeq and is a predicted model, not a curated record. NCBI's taxonomy places the organism in Eukaryota, Metazoa, Chordata, Mammalia, Artiodactyla, Hippopotamidae.
UGACGUGGAUCCGGGCCCCACCGCCCAGCCGCGAGCUCCGCCGAGAGCGCCGGGGUGCGGCCGGGCCAGCGGAGCCGUGGCCCACCGGGGAUGGCGACGCCGAUCGCUCCGCGCCGGGGCGCCGGGGCUGCCGGCCGGCAGUGGUUGGUGCUGCUGCCGCCCCUGCUGCUGGCGCCGCUGCUGGCGCGGCCCGCGGGGGCGCUGGUGGAAGGGCUGUACUGCGGCGCGCGGGACUGCUACGAGGUGCUGGGCGUGAGCCGCGCGGCGGGCAAGGCGGAGAUCGCGCGGGCCUACCGCCAGCUGGCCCGGCGCUACCACCCCGACCGCUACCGGCCCGAGCCCGGCGACGAGGGCCCCGGGCGGACGCCGCAGAGCGCCGAGGAGGCCUUCCUGCUGGUGGCCACCGCCUACGAGACGCUGAAGGAUGAAGAAACUCGAAAAGAUUAUGAUUACAUGCUGGAUCACCCAGAAGAAUACUACAGCCACUACUACCACUACUACAGCAGGCGCUUAGCCCCUAAAGUGGAUGUGAGAGUUGUGAUUUUGGUCAGUGUGUGCGCUAUUUCAGUGUUUCAGUUUUUCAGCUGGUGGAACAGCUAUGACAAGGCAAUCAGCUACCUGGCCACAGUGCCCAAGUACCGUAUCCAAGCCAUGGAGAUUGCCAAGCAGCAGGGAUUGCUGAGAAAAGCCAAAGAGAAGGGCAGAAACAAAAAGUCCAAAGAGGAAAUUCGUGACGAGGAGGAGAACAUCAUAAAGAACAUUAUAAAAAGUAAAAUAGAUAUAAAGGGAGGCUAUCAGAAACCCCAGAUCCGUGACCUUCUCCUGUUUCAAAUUCUCCUAGCUCCUUUUCACCUGUGCUCAUAUAUAGUCUGGUAUUGCCGGUGGAUCUAUAAUUUUAACAUCAAAGGCAAAGAAUAUGGGGAAGAAGAAAGACUAUAUAUCAUACGUAAAUCUAUGAAGAUGUCAAAGUCUCAGUUUGAUAGUCUAGAAGAUCAUCAGAAAGAAACUUUUCUUAAACGGGAGCUUUGGAUAAAGGAGAAUUAUGAGGUCUACAGACAAGAACAAGAAGAAGAACUUAAGAAAAGAUUGGCUAACGACCCUAGAUGGAAGAGAUACAGGAGAUGGAUGAAGAAUGAAGGGCCUGGACGGUUAACGUUUGUGGAUGACUGAAGAUUGCUGGAAUGCUACUCGACCAGACCUUAAUUAAAUCUCAUUUCUGGAAUUGCUGCUGGCAGCCUGCUCACUUGGUAAAAGUUUGGUCGGUCUUUUGGAAUCAUGGCUAUUGCAUGGGUAUUUGAAUCCCUUAACUUUGUGCAGAGUACUGUGCUAGAGUGAAAGAGUGAUGCUCCUUUGGGUUGGAAUUGUGUGUCCUAAAGCAGCUGCCUGCCCCUUGUUGCCCCAGGGGUACAAGGUGAAAGCAGCUGAGAUGACAACUCAGGAAAGAAAGAACUUUCAGAGUGAAUAGAAUAAUCUGCUACUCUCCAGUUCAAGGCCUGCAUUUACUGAAGGGACACUUCCAGUGAGAUACAGAGGCAUGCCUGGAAUGGAACGGUGGCUCAAAAGGACAUCAAGUAGCCCUAAGUCACACUGCCUCUCAAAGUCUCAAGCAGUCUGUAAAAAUCUUUUCAGAGAAGCUGAAUCUACAAACCUGUUGGUGAACCUUUCACUCCUGAGUCAUUAUUUUUAAGCUGUAAAAAUAACGCAAUGGGUAUAAGGAAGUGAAAUGAUUUUUUUUAUGAUACAUUAUACUGUCACAUUAAAUAUAGUUGUUAAUGUAUUUCCCUGUUUCUUUUUUAGGAAACUGAAGGUAGCAGAAGCAUCUUCCCAUUAUAUCAUUAUUUUUAUGGAGAAGAGUGAUUUAACACUUCUUUUCUGGGAAAAUAACUUCGUAAAUUUACUGUUAGUAAAAGGGUGACGAAAAAAACAUGUCAGGAGUGAAGAAUUACAGAUCAUAUCAGGGAAACAAAAUGUUUGUCUUUACAAGGACACUGACAUUUCUAAAAAGUACUGAGAGUCUUAGAAAGAGUGGAAAUUUAUGUUUUUAUCUUAACCAAGAAAAAAUUGAAUAACAAAUUCUCUAAAAUAAUACAUGGGUGAUCUGUGCAUUUUAGCUGGGGUGAGGAGGAAAGGAUACUUUAUCCCCAUGUCUCAUGGUUCAGAGCUCUGGAGUUAACUGCAUCUGUGGGGACAGACUCUAGUCCUCCAGGUGACCAGUGACUUCUCUAGAAUGGAAGUUGUCUUCCUCACUCCCACUUUGUGUGAUACUAGGCAAGUGACUUUCCUUAGUGGGCCUUAGUUUCCUCAUCUCUAAAAUUGUGAACGGACUACCUUAUCUGAAGGUCUGUUUCCAAUCUGAAGUUCCAUGAUGCAAAAAUAAUGGAUGAGAAGACUUUGGUGAAGUAUAAAGCAAAACACAGAUGGUCAGCCCUCAGUUACAAGUGGCACCCAGCCUGCCUGUCCAUGAAUCACUGUAGGAGGCUGGAUGCUAAAACCUGGCUGUUUCCUCCAAGGCAGACAACUCCUCUCCAAGAAGAGCACAAUCAGUCAUACAGAGGCAAGCAGGGGCGGUGGGUGUGAUCAGGCAUGAAGGAGGGAGAUGGGGCACACUCCUAGACCUUUACUGCUACCUGGUGGCUGACACACACGUGUGUGUGCCCUCACUGUGGGCAAUCCCAAAGCAGCCUUUCCUAUCUAGAGGUCAUUUCAUUUCUUCAGCUGUAGUUAUGCUGUGUAGCUGUCUCCCACGUCAACAUCUGCCACUAAGCAUUUUCAGCAGCUUAGAGGCACGAAGCAGUACAGUUGAAGACUUAGUUUCUCCUAAGCCAAACUCAUCUUUAUUCUUCAUUCCUCCCUCCCUAGUCCUGUUUCCUAAUUUCUGUUACAGGCAUCAGAUCUCAGCUAUUCUCUGCUUCAGAAGCCUCUGCCCACUUUCUUUUGCAUUUCAGAACCACAAUGAAGUCCUACUAAUUUGGUCUUUUGAAUUUGUUCUCCAUCCCACCUUCAUGGUCCUCUCUAGGGCCUUGAUCCAGCCACUCCACCAAAAAGACAAAACUAUUAUUGAAGUUAUCUUGUCUCCCCAGCUUCAGUUCAUUUUCUAUUCUCAUCCCAGAUUAAUAUUCCUAAAAUGUCUUACCAUGUGACUACCCUGCUGUUUGCUGCAAACUCCUGCUUCUUUUGAGGUUUUCUGUGACUUGUAGUCUUAACAGCUUUGUAUCUUCUGUUACUCACUAGAGCCUUCUUUAUUCACUAAUUCAUUCUGCAUGUGCAUGGCCCCCUGUUCUCCCUACUACAAUGCUUUCCCUCGUCCUCUCUGCCAUCUGCAGGACACAUAUUUCCAAGGUCUAGGUUUCACCAUCUAAGAUGAGCUUUUCCUAAUCGUCCCAGUCUAUAUCUUUGCUCUAAGUUCUUUGCCACGUCUUUCUGACACACAGCUUCUCUAUUCUGUCACCAGUGUAGUCAUGUUUCUAACGUAUACUUUUAUUUUUUGACCAGAAUCGACGUUAAGUUCUUUGUGGGGAGGGAACUUGCCAUGGGAGAGGGCUUUAAAAUUUGCAUAUCUGCUCUUGUCAUGAGGUAAGAAAAAUUCUUUAACACCUCACAGACUGAACACAUAGCUCAAAAAAGGAAUAGAAGAAAUGUUCAGCCUCAACAGUUGAGACAUCUAAAAGACUUAAGACACCAUUUUUCAUCUAUUAGGUUGUUAGAGAUAAAGAACCAAAAUACUGAAUUGUGAGGGUGCAGAGAAAUAGGCAGCCUUCUUUCUGGUGGGAACAGCAAUUGCUACCACGUUCUGGAGGAUGAAGGAGGGAAAAGUUUUAAAAACUUUAUAUUCUUUGAUUCACCAAUUCCACUUUUAAGAAUGCAUCCUAAGGAAACAAAAAACAUACACAAAGCUGUAUGUUUAAGGUGGCCACCACAGUGUUAAAUAAUAGGGCAAUUGGUAAAUAAAUUAUGAUACAGUUGUACAAUGGAAUAUCACACAGUCAUUAAAAAUAAUACUUGGGAAUUCCCUGGUGGCACAGUGGUUAAGAAUCUGCCUGCCAAUGCAGGGGACAUCGGUUCGAGCCCUGGUCCAGGGAGAUCCCACAUGCUGCGGAGCAACUAAGCCCAUGUACCACAACUACUGAGCCUGUGUUCUAGAGCCCUUGAGCCACAACUACUAAGCCCUCGUGCCACAACUACUGAAGCCUGCGUGCCUAGAGCCCAUGCUCCUCAACAAGAGAAGCCACUGCAAUGAGAAGCUCGUGCACUGCAAUGAAUAGUAGCCCCGCUCUCAGCAACUGGAGAAAGCCCGAACGAAGCAACAAAGACCCAAUGCUGCCCAA